This 584-nucleotide ribosomal RNA is filed under the name Chitinophaga sp. RDB-047. RNAcentral describes it as "bacterial SSU rRNA". It matches the Rfam family "Bacterial small subunit ribosomal RNA", at positions 102 to 683 of the family's 1533-position model. The record is from RNAcentral. Lineage: Bacteria; Pseudomonadati; Bacteroidota; Chitinophagia; Chitinophagales; Chitinophagaceae.
ACGGGUGCGGAACACGUACGCAACCUUCCUUCAAGCGGGGAAUAGCCCAGAGAAAUUUGGAUUAAUACCCCAUAAGAAUGUGACCUGGCAUCAGGUAGCAUUUAAAGAUUCAUCACUUGAAGAUGGGCGUGCGUAUGAUUAGGUAGUUGGUGAGGUAACGGCUCACCAAGCCGACGAUCAGUAACUGGCGUGAGAGCGCGACCAGUCACACGGGCACUGAGACACGGGCCCGACUCCUACGGGAGGCAGCAGUAAGGAAUAUUGGUCAAUGGACGCAAGUCUGAACCAGCCAUGCCGCGUGGAGGAUGAAGGCCCUCUGGGUUGUAAACUUCUUUUAUUUGGGACGAAACACUUCAUUUCUAUGGAGCUUGACGGUACCAGAUGAAUAAGCACCGGCUAACUCCGUGCCAGCAGCCGCGGUAAUACGGAGGGUGCAAGCGUUAUCCGGAUUCACUGGGUUUAAAGGGUGCGUAGGCGGACCUGUAAGUCCGUGGUGAAAUCUCCAAGCUUAACUUGGAAAACUGCUAUGGAUACUAUAUGUCUUGAAUGUUGUGGAGGUUAGCGGAAUAUGUCAUGUAGCGGUG